GCCUAGCGACCGCGACCGCGCCCCGCUCGGCACAAGAGGCUCCUCCCCUUUCCUGGGGGGCGGAGUCCCAGCGCGGCUCGCGGGACCGGGACGUGACCCGGAAGCCGCGCAGAGGCGACGGCGGUAGUCCGCGCGGCUACUCCCGCAGGCGCCGCCGCUCCCGCCUGCCCCCCACUGUGGCGUGUUCUGUUCCGGGAGGCUUGCGCACGGCCGGGUGCCCGCCUGGGACAGGGCUGCGCCUGGUUUAGGGAAGGCUUACUCUCUCUCUCGGAAGGGUUUAUUGAGCCUGCCUCUGGGAACUUAAUAAGCGAGAGGAGUGCUGUGGCCAGCGCCUGGAUGCUGUGAGCAUGUAACAGGAAAACCUAGUUUAGAUUGCAGUCAGAAAGCCUUUUUUUGUAUGGCUUUGACAUUUAAGGAGAGUUGGGGGAACGCCUCAUUCAAGACACAGACCAGAGGGAGGAAAGGCGGGAUCACGGAUGAUCGCUAGGUGGCCAUGUCAACAACCGAUGGCUCUGGGCACCAUUCUCUAAGAUACAGAGACUUGGGAAGUUUGGCAGGGAAGUGGUGAGGAUCAAGAGUUGGACAUGUGAAUCCGGGAGAAAUGACAUCUAUACAGAUGGAUAUGUGGGUCUGAAGCUCACCAGGAGUGACAAGGCUGGAGAUAGUAAUUGGGGCUUAUUGGAAUACAGAUGGUAUUUGAAGCCACAGAACUGGGCGGGGUUGGUCACAUAGAGGCACAAAGUGAAUAAAGCAACGGGAAACCCAUCUGUAGAAUCCAAGAAGAGGAAUCAGUACAGGACAACAAGCAGAGCCUGCCAGAGAAAUAUGCAGAAAACUAGGGGCCCCGUUUGCCUCUGGGGCUGAGUGAAGAACUGUUUGAGGAGGUAGGGUGGGGUCCACUUUGGCAAAACCUGCUGAGAAGCCAGAGAGGGCGUUGAAAAGUGUCCCACCUUUACCCCAGGGAAGACACCGAUACUUCCAUGGGACGUAUCGCCGCAGAGACUGGGAGGCAGCAGGUUGGAAGUGGGAAUGGGAAGUGAGGAUGAGGUGAUAGCCGGCAAAUCCACCUUAACGGAUCUGGAGAAGCUUGUCUCUGAGAGGAGCAGAGGAAUGGGGAUGGAGGUGGCCCAGGGUGGGAGGAUGUAGGGAUGAGUUAGGUUUUUCAAACGAAAGCAGCAGCAAGGCUGUGCAUACUUUGCCUAAGAACCUUGCAAGUCUCUUGUGGAGCCCAGGAAUCUGCAGAUGCCAGGUACCUCUGAGACAGAGUUGGAGGACCAUAUUUAAAAAGAACUGAGACAUCUUUGCAUGAGUGAGAAUGGUUUAGCAGAGAGGUAAAGAUGGAAUGUAGAGAAGACGAGGUACCCAAGUCAGGUGAGAUGCGGCAGAACCCAGAGUACACACAGAGGGGUUGGUCUUUUCCGUAAUCAUGGGGGAGAAGGAGGCUGGGAGAUCCAUGGGUAAGAAAAUGAGGGCCUUCCUCUCCUUUCCUUAAUGAACACACACACACACACACACAGAGGAAGGAAGGAAGGAAGGAAGGAAGGAAGGAAGGAAGGAAGGAAGGAAGGAAGGAAGGAAGGAAGGAGAGAAGAGGGAAAACGUCCUUCAGUAAGCCUCCUGCCAUUGGCCACAUCUGUCCUUGUCUGUGUGAUCCACUAACCAGGAUCCUUCCACCCCUGUCCUGCCAUCACCUAUCAGCAUUACCUGUGGAUGACCCAUCCCUCCAGCUGCUCCCCUGUGACCCUCAUCCUCAGCCUGGAUGAACUCCACCUGCUUGCUCUGCACCUGCCACUGCCGGAGGAGGAGCCGCAAGACCUGGCAGCAGGCACCGGCAGGAAUGCUUCUGGCCCUCAGCCCUGCCUGGCUCUCCCCCCUGCCCUCUCCUCCCUCCUUCCCUGCAAAGAUAUUGCCAAGCCUUCUCCACUCUCCUCAGCCUGCCUGCAGCCCUUUGCAGACCCCUUGCCUCUGUUUAUGGAGAAAAGUGGAUCCACCCCACUGUUGCCCCCUCCACCCUUCCGAUCCUCCAUGAGGUUAGAAAAACACCGGUCCUGCCCAAGGACUUCUUUGGAUCCCAU
Molecule: long non-coding RNA, 2075 nt
Organism: Felis catus (domestic cat)
Lineage: Eukaryota; Metazoa; Chordata; Mammalia; Carnivora; Felidae
Exons: 2
Source: RefSeq, a predicted model, not a curated record